RNAcentral lists this ribosomal RNA (253 nucleotides) under uncultured bacterium. RNAcentral's name for it is "partial 16S ribosomal RNA". It matches the Rfam family "Bacterial small subunit ribosomal RNA", at positions 524 to 776 of the family's 1533-position model. The record is from RNAcentral.
UACGUAGGGUGCGAGCGUUAAUCGGAAUUACUGGGCGUAAAGCGUGCGCAGGCGGUUCGCUAAGACAGAUGUGAAAUCCCCGGGCUUAACCUGGGAACUGCAUUUGUGACUGGCGGGCUAGAGUAUGGCAGAGGGGGGUAGAAUUCCACGUGUAGCAGUGAAAUGCGUAGAGAUGUGGAGGAAUACCGAUGGCGAAGGCAGGUCUCUGGGCUGACACUGACGCUCAUGCACGAAAGCGUGGGGAGCAAACAGG